This 253-nucleotide ribosomal RNA is filed under the name uncultured bacterium. RNAcentral's name for it is "partial 16S ribosomal RNA". It matches the Rfam family "Bacterial small subunit ribosomal RNA", at positions 524 to 776 of the family's 1533-position model. The record is from RNAcentral.
UACGUAGGGGGCAAGCGUUGUCCGGAUUUAUUGGGCGUAAAGAGCGUGUAGGCGGCCAGGUAGGUCUGCUGUGAAAACUCGAGGCUUAACCUCGAGCUGUCGGCGGAAACCAUCUGGCUAGAGUCCGGAAGAGGAGAAUGGAAUUCCCGGUGUAGCGGUGAAAUGCGUAGAUAUCGUUUGGAACGCCAAUGGUGAAAACAGGUAGCUGGGGGUGUGCUGACACUGAGACACGAAAGCCAGGGGAGCAAACGGG